RNAcentral lists this ribosomal RNA (403 nucleotides) under uncultured bacterium. Its description in RNAcentral is "bacterial SSU rRNA". It matches the Rfam family "Bacterial small subunit ribosomal RNA", at positions 64 to 507 of the family's 1533-position model. The record is from RNAcentral.
GGACGCCGUAGCAAUACGGAGUGGCAGACGGGUGAGUAACACGUGGGAACAUGCCCUUCGGUUCGGAAUAACUCAGGGAAACUUGAGCUAAUACCGGAUACGUCCAAGGCAACUUGGAGAAAGAUUUAUCGCCGAUGGAUUGGCCCGCGUCUGAUUAGCUAGUUGGUGGGGUAAUGGCUCACCAAGGCGACGAUCAGUAGCUGGUCUGAGAGGAUGAUCAGCCACAUUGGGACUGAGACACGGCCCAAACUCCUACGGGAGGCAGCAGUGGGGAAUAUUGGACAAUGGGCGCAAGCCUGAUCCAGCCAUGCCGCGUGAGUGAUGAAGGCCCUAGGGUUGUAAAGCUCUUUUACCCGGGAAGAUAAUGACGGUACCGGGAGAAUAAGCCCCGGCUAACUUCGUG